This is a small nuclear RNA of Cynocephalus volans (Philippine flying lemur), 111 nucleotides long. The record is from RefSeq and is a predicted model, not a curated record. NCBI's taxonomy places the organism in Eukaryota, Metazoa, Chordata, Mammalia, Dermoptera, Cynocephalidae.
UGUUCUCUUCAGCAGCACAUACACUGUACUAAAAUUGGAAUGAUACACAGAAGAUGAGCAUGGCCCCUGUGCAAGGAUGACAGGCAAAUUUGUGAAGCAUUUUAUAUUUUU